Molecule: unclassified non-coding RNA, 181 nt
Filed under: uncultured Agaricomycetes
Lineage: Eukaryota; Fungi; Basidiomycota; Agaricomycetes
Description: sequence contains ITS2
Source: RNAcentral
GAAUUACUCUCAACCUAGACUCUGGUUUUGGUUGGAUCUGGGGGUCUGCCGUUGACUUGUUCACGGCUCCUCCUAAAUGUAUUAGCUUUUGGUGAGAAACCGCUGUCGGCUUGAUAUUAAUGUCUAUGCCUAAGUGGUUUGUGCUCCAUGGCUUACAGUCGUCUUUUGACAAUAUUCUGAC